Molecule: long non-coding RNA, 1400 nt
Organism: Hydractinia symbiolongicarpus
Lineage: Eukaryota; Metazoa; Cnidaria; Hydrozoa; Anthoathecata; Hydractiniidae
Exons: 3
Source: RefSeq, a predicted model, not a curated record
UUAAAAUAUUUUUGUCUUAUGUUAUAUGUUGAAAUAUGAUUUAGUUAGAGUAGAGCGAUGUGUGGUGAGAUUGGAGUAGAGUGACGUCCGGUGUGAUAGGUUCGGAGCUGGGUAGGGUAGGAUAGAGUAGGAGGAAGGUUAGGGGUAUAUGUGGGGUAGGAUUUGAGGUAAAUGUGGAGAUACGGGAAGUGAAGAAAUUAUAACGUCACAAAAUUUCUUUGUACGUAACAAUCAUAAAAAAUUUCUUUUAUUAUUUAAAAAAAAUAAAAAUAGAAGCUCAAAAUAUUAUAGCAUGAAUUUCAAAUAUUAUCGUGUCAUUAUAUAUUGGAAUGGGAUUUAGUAGAGCAGAGUAACAUGUGGUGAGAUAGGGGUAGAGUGGCGUGCGGUGAAAUAUGUUUAGAGGUCGAAAGGGUAGGGUAGAGAUGUAGGAUAGGGUAGGGGUGUAGGUGGGAUAGGGGUAUAGCUGGGAUAGCAUUUAAAAAAAGGAUGGAGGUAACUGGAAGUGAAAGAAUUAUCACAAAAUUUCUUUGUACGUAACAAUCAUACAAAAUUUCUUUGAUUAAAUUAAGCCAGAAAGAUCACUUUCUCUAUUUUGGAAGUCUACCAUUUCACAGUUGCAAAUGAAAUCAGUUUUCAUAGAAUAGUAAUCAAUAAUAGUCAGCUUAACGUUUCUAAAUAAAAAAAAAUAUAAUAUAUACAUUUAAUAUAGUUUAUAGUAGAAGUGUAGUUUUAUAAAUGACAAACAGUCAUUUAAAGGCUUUCAGGCACCUGCCUAUCACAAUGCCAUCAAAAAAAAAACAGUGGACAUUUUGCCACUCAUGUUGUCAAAUAUGUUUUUUUAAUUGAAACGACGCAUUUCCAACAAGCUCAUGGUAGCGGAUAUUGUUCUUCAAUUAAAGAUCAGCAAAAAUACACUUGAGUACAUCACAAUGUGUUGGAUGACUGGCAGUUAUAAAAAUGCUUUUGAAGAAGAAUAAACAACAUUUAAAAUCCGCGCACAUUGGUCCUAUCCAUAAAAUGUAAAGAUUACCAUUCCAGUCGGCUGAUGUAACAAACUCUUGUCAAAUAUAUUAUUACUGGAAAAUCAAUGUUGAGCUACGAAAGGCGUGCAAGCACACAGUCGCUUAACUCGACAACCGCCUAAGAUAUCAAUACUAUUUUCAUGCUGAACGUUAAGCAAAAUAAAUCGAUUCGCACGUUUAUAUUCUCUGCCAUGGCUCGGCUGGAGUCUGAACCCAAUGCCUUCCCCACUAAAGGCAAACGCUAUAUCACAAGGCCAAUAUUAGACCUGCAUGAGUUCUUGUGCAUAUGGAUCUUCUAUUUGAGUUACUGAAUAUUUGCAAACACAGCAACCGCAUAAUUAGACAAUUGCCAAAUAUAUCAAUCCUAUGCCUAUCUCA